RNAcentral lists this ribosomal RNA (887 nucleotides) under uncultured marine bacterium. RNAcentral's name for it is "bacterial SSU rRNA". It matches the Rfam family "Bacterial small subunit ribosomal RNA", at positions 22 to 905 of the family's 1533-position model. The record is from RNAcentral.
GCUCAGGAUGAACGCUAGCGGCAGGCCUAACACAUGCAAGUCGAGGGGCAGCAUAUCUAGCUUGCUAGAUGAUGGCGACCGGCGCACGGGUGCGGAACGCGUAUGGAACCUACCUUUGUCAGGGGAAUAGCCCAGAGAAAUUUGGAUUAAUGCCCCAUGGUAACAUUAUAUUGCAUGAUAUUUUGUUUAAAGAUUCAUCGGACAAAGAUGGCCAUGCGUACCAUUAGUUAGUUGGUAAGGUAACGGCUUACCAAGGCAGCGAUGGUUAGGGGCCCUGAGAGGGGGAUCCCCCACACUGGUACUGAGACACGGACCAGACUCCUACGGGAGGCAGCAGUGAGGAAUAUUGGACAAUGGGCGGGAGCCUGAUCCAGCCAUGCCGCGUGCAGGAUGACGGCCCUAUGGGUUGUAAACUGCUUUUGUACGGGAAGAAACCUGUCCACGUGUGGACAGCUGACGGUACCGUAAGAAUAAGGACCGGCUAACUCCGUGCCAGCAGCCGCGGUAAUACGGAGGGUCCGAGCGUUAUCCGGAAUCAUUGGGUUUAAAGGGUCCGUAGGUGGGCGUGUAAGUCAGAGGUGAAAGUUUGUGGCUCAACCAUAAAAUUGCCUUUGAUACUGCAGGUCUUGAGUUAUAGUGGAGUUGCCGGAACAUGUGGUGUAGCGGUGAAAUGCAUAGAUAUCACAUAGAACACCGAUCGCGAAGGCAGGUGACUAACUAUAUACUGACACUGAUGGACGAAAGCGUGGGGAGCGAACGGGAUUAGAUACCCCGGUAGUCCACGCCGUAAACGAUGGAUACUAGCUGUCGGGUCUUCGGACUCGGCGGCCAAGCGAAAGUGAUAAGUAUCCCACCUGGGGAGUACGUUCGCAAGAAUGAAACUCAAA